GGGAUAACCCGAGGAAACUCAGGCUAAUACCGCAUGACCUCUACGGAGUAAAGUGGGGGAUCUUUUGACCUCGCGCUAUAAGAUGAGCCUAUGUCGGAUUAGCUUGUUGGUAGGGUAAUUGCCUACCAAGGCAACGAUCCGUAGCUGAUCUGAGAGGAUGAUCAGCCACACUGGGACUGAGACACGGCCCAGACUCCUACGGGAGGCAGCAGUGGGGAAUCUUGGACAAUGGGGGAAACCCUGAUCCAGCAAUGCCGCGUGUGUGAAGAAGGCCUUAGGGUUGUAAAGCACUUUCAGUGGGGAAGAAGUUCUCAAAAGUAAUAUGCUUGAGAACCGACGUUACCUACAGAAGAAGCACUGGCUAACUCUGUGCCAGCAGCCGCGGUAAUACAGAGAGUGCAAGCGUUAAUCGGAAUUACUGGGCGUAAAGCGCACGUAGGUGGAUAUUUAAGUCGGAUGUGAAAGCCCCAAGGCUUAACCUGGGAAUUGCAUCCGAUACUGGAUGUCUCGAGUAUGGUAGAGGGAAGUGGAAUUUCCGGUGUAGCGGUGAAAUGCGUAGAUAUCGGAAAGAACACCAGUGGCGAAGGCGGCUUCCUGGACCAAUACUGACACUGAGGUGCGAAAGCGUGGGGAGCAAACAGGAUUAGAGACCCUGGUAGUCCACGCCGUCAACGAUGAGAACUAGCUGUUGGGAAAGUAAACUUUCCAGUAGCGAAGCUAACGCGUUAAGUUCUCCGCCUGGGGAGUACGGCCGCAAGGUUAAAACUCAAAGAAAUUGACGGGGGCCCGCACAAGCGGUGGAGCAUGUGGUUUAAUUCGAUGCAACGCGAAAAACCUUACCUACCCUUGACAUCCUCGGAACUUGUCAGAAAUGACUUGGUGCCUUCGGGAACCGAGUGACAGGUGCUGCAUGGCUGUCGUCAGCUCGUGUCGUGAGAUGUUGGGUUAAGUCCCGUAACGAGCGCAACCCUUGUCCUUAGUUGCCAGCGGGUUCAGCCGGGAACUCUAAGGAGACUGCCGGUGAUAAACCGGAGGAAGGUGGGGAUGAUGUCAAGUCAUCAUGGCCCUUAAGGGUAGGGCUACACACGUGCUACAAUGGGCAGUACAGAGGGUUGCCAAACCAUGAGGUGGAGCCAAUCCCAGAAAGCUGCUCGUAGUCCGGAUUGAAGUCUGCAACUCGACUUCAUGAAGUUGGAAUCGCUAGUAAUCGCGAAUCAGAAUGUCGCGGUGAAUACGUUCUCGGGCCUUGUACACACCGCCCGUCACACCAUGGGAGUG
This 1278-nucleotide ribosomal RNA is filed under the name uncultured Coxiella sp. Its description in RNAcentral is "bacterial SSU rRNA". It matches the Rfam family "Bacterial small subunit ribosomal RNA", at positions 140 to 1412 of the family's 1533-position model. Lineage: Bacteria; Pseudomonadati; Pseudomonadota; Gammaproteobacteria; Legionellales; Coxiellaceae. The record is from RNAcentral.